UACGUAGGGGGCAAGCGUUGUCCGGAUUUAUUGGGCGUAAAGAGCGUGUAGGCGGUUUGGUAGGUCCGCUGUGAAAACUCGAGGCUCAACCUCGAGACGCCGGUGGAAACCAUCAGACUAGAGUCCGGAAGAGGAGAGUGGAAUUCCUGGUGUAGCGGUGAAAUGCGCGGAUAUCAGGAAGAACACCCGUGGCUAAGGCGGCUCUCUAGUACGGUACUGACGCUGAGACGCGAAAGCGUGGGGAGCGAACAGG
This 253-nucleotide ribosomal RNA is filed under the name uncultured bacterium. Its description in RNAcentral is "partial 16S ribosomal RNA". It matches the Rfam family "Bacterial small subunit ribosomal RNA", at positions 524 to 776 of the family's 1533-position model. The record is from RNAcentral.